RNAcentral lists this small RNA (370 nucleotides) under Klebsiella electrica. RNAcentral describes it as "Raoultella electrica CspA". It matches the Rfam family "cspA thermoregulator", at positions 1 to 377 of the family's 428-position model. Lineage: Bacteria; Pseudomonadati; Pseudomonadota; Gammaproteobacteria; Enterobacterales; Enterobacteriaceae. The record is from RNAcentral.
ACAGAAAAAAGUUCAUCAAAGCAGUUCACUAAAGCCGUUCUCAUAUCCAGGCGUUAUCGCUGAUAUCUCUUUCCUUGAGUCCCUUCAUUAAGUGUUAAGUUGAUUGCGUGCGCAAACCCGUUUGGCGAUUAAGGACGCAUACAAAGGAAUAUUGAAUGUCGAAUAAAAUGACUGGUUUAGUCAAAUGGUUUAACGCAGAUAAAGGCUUCGGCUUCAUUACGCCGGCCGACGGCGGCAAGGAUAUUUUCGUCCACUUUUCUGCGAUUCAAAACGAAGAUUUCCGCGCCCUGUUUGAAGGGCAGAAGGUCGAGUUUGUGGUCGGCAGUGGCGCGAAAGGCCCGGCGGCGACAAACGUUUCCAUCGUAGGAUA